GGUGGGCACUCUAAGAUGACUGCCGGUGACAAACCGGAGGAAGGUGGGGAUGACGUCAAAUCAUCAUGCCCCUUAUGACCUGGGCUACACACGUACUACAAUGGUCGGUACAACGGGAAGCGAAGCCGCGAGGYGGAGCCAAUCCUUAUAAGCCGAUCUCAGUUCGGAUUGCAGGCUGCAACUCGCCUGCAUGAAGUCGGAAUUGCUAGUAAUCGCGGAUCAGCAUGCCGCGGUGAAUACGUUCCCGGGUCUUGUACACACCGCCCGUCACACCACGAGAGUUUACAACACC
Molecule: ribosomal RNA, 292 nt
Filed under: Paenibacillus sp. 2H2
Lineage: Bacteria; Bacillati; Bacillota; Bacilli; Caryophanales; Paenibacillaceae
Description: partial 16S ribosomal RNA
Rfam family: Bacterial small subunit ribosomal RNA
Source: RNAcentral